GCUCGGGUGGCGGAACUGGCAGACGCGCAGGAUUCAGGAUCCUGUGGGAACUUAUACUCCCGUGGGGGUUCGACUCCCCCCCCGAGCA
RNAcentral lists this transfer RNA (88 nucleotides) under Gemmatimonadota bacterium. RNAcentral's name for it is "Gemmatimonadetes bacterium tRNA-Leu". It matches the Rfam family "tRNA". Rfam says of the family: Transfer RNA (tRNA) molecules are approximately 80 nucleotides in length. Their secondary structure includes four short double-helical elements and three loops (D, anti-codon, and T loops). RNAcentral also lists the same sequence under 3 other names. Lineage: Bacteria; Pseudomonadati; Gemmatimonadota. The record is from RNAcentral.